CUCCUCCUUACCUAUAAGGUAAGUUGGGAAAGAUUUAUCGCUAAAGGAUGGGGCUUUAUUGUAUCAGCUAGUUGGUGGGGUAAUGGCCUACCAAGGCUAUGACGCAUACCUGGUCUGAGAGGAUGAUCAGGCACACUGGAAUUGAGACACGGUCCAGACUCCUACGGGAGGCAGCAGUGGGGAAUAUUGCACAAUGGAGGAAACUCUGAUGCAGCAACGCCGCGUGGAGGAUGACGCAUUUCGGUGUGUAAACUCCUUUUAUAGGGGAAGAUAAUGACGGUACCCUAUGAAUAAGCACCGGCUAACUCCGUGCCAGCAGCCGCGGUAAUACGGAGGGUGCAAGCGUUACUCGGAAUCACUGGGCGUAAAGGAUGCGUAGGCUGGAAAUCAAGUCGAGAGUGAAAUCCAACGGCUCAACCGUUGAACUGCUCUCGAAACUGGUUACCUAGAAUAUGGGAGAGGUAGAUGGAAUUAGUGGUGUAGGGGUAAAAUCCGUAGAUAUCACUAGGAAUACCGAUUGCGAAGGCGAUCUACUGGAACAAUUAUGACG
RNAcentral lists this ribosomal RNA (550 nucleotides) under uncultured bacterium. RNAcentral describes it as "bacterial SSU rRNA". It matches the Rfam family "Bacterial small subunit ribosomal RNA", at positions 173 to 745 of the family's 1533-position model. The record is from RNAcentral.